GUGGGGAAUAUUGGGCAAUGGGCGAAAGCCUGACCCAGCAACGCCGCGUGAAGGAAGAAGGUUUUCGGAUUGUAAACUUCUGUCCUCAGGGAAGAAGAAAGUGACGGUACCUGAGGAGGAAGCCCCGGCUAACUACGUGCCAGCAGCCGCGGUAAUACGUAGGGGGCGAGCGUUGUCCGGAAUGACUGGGCGUAAAGGGCGCGUAGACGGCUGUCUAAGUCUGGAGUGAAAGUCCUGCUUUCAAGGUGGGAAUUGCUUUGGAGACUGGAUGGCUUGAGUGCGGAAGAGGUAAGUGGAAUUCCCAGUGUAGCGGUGAAAUGCGUAGAGAUUGGGAGGAACACCAGUGGCGAAGGCGACUUACUGGGCCGUAACUGACGUUGAUGCGCGAAAGCAUGGGUAGCGAACAGGAUUAGAAACCCCGGUAGUCC
Molecule: ribosomal RNA, 428 nt
Filed under: uncultured bacterium
Lineage: Bacteria
Description: partial 16S ribosomal RNA
Rfam family: Bacterial small subunit ribosomal RNA
Source: RNAcentral